AAACCCGCUUUCUCACUUCUUUGCUUGUUCUUUGUUUUAGCUUCCAUGGCAAGUUGUGACCUCGUCUAUGAAGUUGAAGAUUUUGAUCUCUUUGAAAUCCCUUGCCACAAAUCUCACACAAGAAUCUGUUUGUUGCCAUUAGUGUCUUUGGAGAUAACGCGAUUACUUCUGCUUCAGGAUCUGCAAAAUUUAUUUGUGAAACAUAAUUAGGUACUGUGAUAAGAACUCGCUUUAGGCCCCCUAUGAGCUUGAGUCGCCUCUGUCCCAGACUCUAGAUUUAAACUAAAAGUAAUUAAAAAGUAAAAAUCAAUACGAUAGUCGGGAGUGAGUGUUGCAUGCCUGGAGUGCCAGGAAGAUUUCGUUUUCUCUUGAUUGUAGGAGGAUUGGAAGAAGGUGGUAGAAGAUUGUUGACAUGAGUAGUGAAACCAUUUUGGAUUAUGUCUUCUGUUACAAGCUUCUCUAACAUCUUUGACUCUUUUGUUAAUCUUGUUAUUGUUGUUGUUGAUAUUCAAUUCUUUGGUUGUGCUCUCAAAUAAUAUAUAUUUUCAAAGUAUAGAUCUUGCACUA
Erigeron canadensis is the source of this 567-nucleotide long non-coding RNA. RefSeq lists it as uncharacterized. The transcript has 2 exons. Lineage: Eukaryota; Viridiplantae; Streptophyta; Magnoliopsida; Asterales; Asteraceae. The record is from RefSeq and is a predicted model, not a curated record.